ACGGCGAGUGAACAGGCAAGAGCUCAGAUUUGAAAGCCUUUUUGGCAUUGUAUUCUGAAGUAUUUAUCCUGAGUAAUGAUGUCUAAGUCUUCUGGAAAGGAGCGCCAUGGAGGGUGAUAGCCCCGUGUGACAUCCCACUCAUUGUAGGAUUUAUACGUGGAGUCGAGUUGUUUGGGAAUGCAGCUCAAACGGGUGGUAUGCUCCAUCUAAAGCUAAAUAUCUGUGAGAGACCGAUAGCGAACAAGUACUGUGAAGGAAAGAUGAAAAGAACUUUGAAAAGAGAGUGAAAAAGUACGUGAAAUUGUUGAAAUGGAAGGGUAGGCCGCUAACCAUGUAGAACCGUGUUUGGGGGGAAGAUAAAAGCUGAAGAAUGUGGCUCCUCGGAGUGUUAUAGCUUCAGUCAAUAUUCCCAUCCGAGCGCGAGGAUCUCA
This 431-nucleotide ribosomal RNA is filed under the name Starmerella cf. meliponinorum MS-2010. RNAcentral describes it as "eukaryotic LSU rRNA". It matches the Rfam family "Eukaryotic large subunit ribosomal RNA", at positions 86 to 544 of the family's 3401-position model. The record is from RNAcentral. Lineage: Eukaryota; Fungi; Ascomycota; Dipodascomycetes; Dipodascales; Trichomonascaceae.